AACGAACGCUGGCGGCAGGCCUAACACAUGCAAGUCGAGCGAGACCUUCGGGUCUAGCGGCGGACGGGUGAGUAACGCGUGGGAACGUGCCCUUCUCUACGGAAUAGCCCCGGGAAACUGGGAGUAAUACCGUAUACGCCCUUUGGGGGAAAGAUUUAUCGGCGAAGGAUCGGCCCGCGUUGGAUUAGGUAGUUGGUGGGGUAAUGGCCCACCAAGCCGACGAUCCAUAGCUGGUUUGAGAGGAUGAUCAGCCACACUGGGACUGAGACACGGCCCAGACUCCUACGGGAGGCAGCAGUGGGGAAUCUUAGACAAUGGGGGCAAGCCUGAUCUAGCCAUGCCGCGUGAGUGAUGAAGGCCUUAGGGUUGUAAAGCUCUUUCAGCUGGGAAGAUAAUGACGGUACCAGCAGAAGAAGCCCCGGCUAACUCCGUG
This 433-nucleotide ribosomal RNA is filed under the name uncultured bacterium. Its description in RNAcentral is "partial 16S ribosomal RNA". It matches the Rfam family "Bacterial small subunit ribosomal RNA", at positions 29 to 507 of the family's 1533-position model. The record is from RNAcentral.